ACGAACGCUGGCGGCGUGCUUCACACAUGCAAGUCGAACGGAAAGGCCCUGCUUUUGUGGGGUGCUCGAGUGGCGAACGGGUGAGUAACACGUGAGUAACCUGCCCUUGACUUUGGGAUAACUUCAGGAAACUGGGGCUAAUACCGGAUAGGAGCUCCUGCUGCAUGGUGGGGGUUGGAAAGUUUCGGCGGUUGGGGAUGGACUCGCGGCUUAUCAGCUUGUUGGUGGGGUAGUGGCUUACCAAGGCUUUGACGGGUAGCCGGCCUGAGAGGGUGACCGGCCACAAUGGGACUGAGAUACGGCCCAGACUCCUACGGGAGGCAGCAGUGGGGAAUAUUGCACAAUGGGCGGAAGCCUGAUGCAGCAACGCCGCGUGCGGGAUGACGGCCUUCGGGUUGUAAACCGCUUUCGCCUGUGACGAAGCGUGAGUGACGGUAAUGGGUAAAGAAGCACCGGCUAACUACGUG
This 467-nucleotide ribosomal RNA is filed under the name uncultured bacterium. RNAcentral describes it as "partial 16S ribosomal RNA". It matches the Rfam family "Bacterial small subunit ribosomal RNA", at positions 29 to 507 of the family's 1533-position model. The record is from RNAcentral.